CGGACGGGUGAGUAACACGUGGAUAACCUACCUAUAAGACUGGGAUAACUUCGGGAAACCGGAGCUAAUACCGGAUAAUAUAUUGAACCGCAUGGUUCAAUAGUGAAAGACGGUUUUGCUGUCACUUAUAGAUGAUCCGCGCCGCAUUAGCUAGUUGGUAAGGUAACGGCUUACCAAGGCAACGAUGCGUAGCCGACCUGAGAGGGUGAUCGGCCACACUGGAACUGAGACACGGUCCAGACUCCUACGGGAGGCAGCAGAG
Molecule: ribosomal RNA, 262 nt
Filed under: uncultured Staphylococcus sp.
Lineage: Bacteria; Bacillati; Bacillota; Bacilli; Caryophanales; Staphylococcaceae
Description: partial 16S ribosomal RNA
Rfam family: Bacterial small subunit ribosomal RNA
Source: RNAcentral